CCAAGGAGUUCAGCGUGUACGCGAGUCAUUGGGUGGUGAAACCCAAAGGCAAAAUGAAAGUGAAGGGAACUUCGCGUUUCUGAGGGAGGAUGAGUUGGUUACCCGUAAGGGGCUGCUCCGCACUCCCGGGGCGUCUCUUUCUCAUUGCGAGUGGAGGCGCACCUAGAGCGUACACGCUGAUACCCGAAAGAUGGUGAACUAUGCCUGGCCAGGACGAAGCCAGGGGAAACCCUGGUGGAGGUCCGCAGCGAUUCUGACGUGCAAAUCGAUCGUCGGAGCUGGGUAUAGGGGCGAAAGACCAAUCGAACCAUCUAGUAGCUGGUUCCCUCCGAAGUUUCCCUCAGGAUAGCUUGCGCUCACGUGAAAGAGUCUCAUCCGGUAGAGCGAAUGAUUAGAGGCCUUGGGGUCGAAACGACCUCAACCUAUUCUCAAACUCCAAAUAGAUGAGAACUCCGGCUUUCUUGAACUCUUGUUUUGAAGCCGGGGGCUCGGAUCAGAGUGCCAAGUGGGCCAAUUUU
Molecule: ribosomal RNA, 518 nt
Filed under: Amblytylus nasutus
Lineage: Eukaryota; Metazoa; Arthropoda; Insecta; Hemiptera; Miridae
Description: eukaryotic LSU rRNA
Rfam family: Eukaryotic large subunit ribosomal RNA
Source: RNAcentral